ACGGAGCGGGACAGCCCGUGAUCUGAAACCAGCCCGUGAUUUGAAGAGCAAGAGAGAGUGCGGUGAGCGAUGGUGGAGGGAAGGCUUCAUGAAGCGCCGCAGAUUUUGCAUCCUAACGGCAUUGCGAAGCACCAGAUUCAUUGUUUGAUGCGGUGCUCACGUCUACCAACCAUGAGAGUACGGUUUGUAGUUGACUACCCUUUCGGAAACCCAACCAGUUUUCUUCACUCAAAGCAUUCAUGUUGCAUAGCACCAGCUCACUUCAAAGGAAAACCGGUCAACAAGACUUGAAGAUUUGAGUAAAUGGAAAGUUGUGUGGGUGGGGCUUCGGGGUUGAUAUUUCGUCGUCAGGGGUUGUCAAUUUGGAAUGCUGUGGUUGACGCGAGGCAUGAGCCAUGCCCCACUGAAUGAAUUUUGCAGCAUUGUACUCCGAACUUGAAGAGUAGAAGGUGCCAAAAAGAAUCACCAAACAGAUAAAGAGAGAGAGAGAGAGAGAGUGUGAGGAGGGGUGUUGGCCAUUCUUUUGUGUGACUGACAGGAGUUGUGCUUCAGUGGGUCACUAACCAACUUGUGGUGUCCUUGGAGGGAUUAAAGGUUCUCACCAAUCGCCUUCAUAAUCCUUUCUGUGCACUGUUUUGUUGGAUGGAGGGAGGCCGUGGUGUUUUCAACUAAUAGUGUGCACUUGAUAAGCCCUGUGGUCUCUUUUAGCAAACCGGCCAUAAUCAAUGUCUGCCGGCAAGCUGAGAUUGGAUAACAGUUGAUUCCCUAAAGAAGUGACGUGACGUGAAUUACUGUAUGACAGUCUUCUAAUUUGUUUUUUUUAUUUUCAUUUUCAAUAAAUCAAGACGACAUAGUCGGUGUUAGCCUUCAUACAA
Molecule: non-coding RNA, 875 nt
Organism: Physcomitrium patens
Lineage: Eukaryota; Viridiplantae; Streptophyta; Bryopsida; Funariales; Funariaceae
Source: RefSeq, a predicted model, not a curated record